RNAcentral lists this ribosomal RNA (385 nucleotides) under uncultured bacterium. RNAcentral describes it as "bacterial SSU rRNA". It matches the Rfam family "Bacterial small subunit ribosomal RNA", at positions 355 to 737 of the family's 1533-position model. The record is from RNAcentral.
UGAGGAAUAUUGGACAAUGGGCGCAAGCCUGAUCCAGCCAUGCCGCGUGCAGGAAGAAGCAUCUAUGGUGUGUAAACUGCUUUUGUACGGGAAGAAACACUCCUACGUGUAGGAGCUUGACGGUACCGUAAGAAUAAGGAUCGGCUAACUCCGUGCCAGCAGCCGCGGUAAUACGGAGGAUCCAAGCGUUAUCCGGAAUCAUUGGGUUUAAAGGGUCCGUAGGCGGUUUAAUAAGUCAGUGGUGAAAUCUGGUCGCUCAACGAUCAAACGGCCAUUGAUACUGUUAGACUUGAAUUACUGGGAAGUAACUAGAAUAUGUAGUGUAGCGGUGAAAUGCUUAGAUAUUACAUGGAAUACCAAUUGCGAAGGCAGGUUACUACCAGUU